GAUGAAGGAACGUAGCGAAAUGCGAUACUUGGUGUGAAUUGCAGAAUCCCGUGAACCAUCGAGUCUUUGAACGCAAGUUGCGCCCGAAGCCAUUAGGCCGAGGGCACGCCUGCCUGGGCGUCACACGUCGUUGCCCCCCCAUCUACUCCUUCGGGAUUGCGGGGGGCGGAUGAUGGCCUCCCGUGCGCCUCGUCGCGCGGUUGGCAUAAAUGCCAAGUCCUCGGCGACGCACGCCACGACAAUCGGUGGUUGCGAAACCUCGGUUGCCCGUCGUGUGCGGUCGUCGCGCAUCGAGGGCUCGAAAAAAUUGCCGGGCUCCGGCUCGGCUUUCAACGCGACCCCAGGUCAGGCGGGGUUACCCGCUGAAUUUAAGCAUAUCAAUAAGCGGAGGA
RNAcentral lists this unclassified non-coding RNA (392 nucleotides) under soil metagenome. RNAcentral describes it as "partial contains 5.8S ribosomal RNA, internal transcribed spacer 2, and large subunit ribosomal RNA". The stretch from base 1 to 123 matches the Rfam family "5.8S ribosomal RNA", at positions 35 to 154 of the family's 154-position model. The record is from RNAcentral.